UAUGCAAUUUAAGCAUAAAUGUUCAGACGAUUUGGGAAAAUAAUAUUAAAAUAAUUAAUUUAUAAUUAUUUGAAAUGUUAUAUUUUAAAUAAUUAAAAAAAAAUAAGUUAGUUGUUUUAGUCGCUUAUCACCUUAGCAUGCAUUUAUUGUUUAUUUAUUUAUAAAUAUAAUAAAUGUUUAUAUUAUUUUACAUUUAAUAUAUAUUUAUUAUUAUUUAUAAAUGAAUAAAUAAGACGGCAAUAUUUAUUACCAUGAUAAUUAAAUGCAUUGAGUCAUAAAAGCGAA
Small nucleolar RNA from Plasmodium relictum, 285 nucleotides. The record is from RefSeq and is a predicted model, not a curated record. NCBI's taxonomy places the organism in Eukaryota, Apicomplexa, Aconoidasida, Haemosporida, Plasmodiidae.